This 451-nucleotide ribosomal RNA is filed under the name uncultured bacterium. RNAcentral describes it as "bacterial SSU rRNA". It matches the Rfam family "Bacterial small subunit ribosomal RNA", at positions 354 to 796 of the family's 1533-position model. The record is from RNAcentral.
GUAGGGAAUCUUCCGCAAUGGACGAAAGUCUGACGGAGCGACGCCGCGUGAGCGAAGAAGGCCUUCGGGUCGUAAAGCUCUGUUGUGAGGGACGAAGGAGCGCCGUUUGAAUAAGGCGGCGCGGUGACGGUACCUCACGAGAAAGCCCCGGCUAACUACGUGCCAGCAGCCGCGGUAAUACGUAGGGGGCGAGCGUUGUCCGGAAUUAUUGGGCGUAAAGCGCGCGCAGGCGGUCCUUUAAGUCUGAUGUGAAAGCCCACGGCUCAACCGUGGAGGGUCAUUGGAAACUGGGGGACUUGAGUGCAGGAGAGGAGAGCGGAAUUCCACGUGUAGCGGUGAAAUGCGUAGAGAUGUGGAGGAACACCAGUGGCGAAGGCGGCUCUCUGGCCUGUAACUGACGCUGAGGCGCGAAAGCGUGGGGAGCAAACAGGAUUAGAUACCCUUGUAGUCC